Molecule: ribosomal RNA, 492 nt
Filed under: uncultured bacterium
Lineage: Bacteria
Description: partial 16S ribosomal RNA
Rfam family: Bacterial small subunit ribosomal RNA
Source: RNAcentral
AGUGAACGCUGGCGGUAGGCCUAACACAUGCAAGUCGAACGGCAGCACAGUAAGAGCUUGCUCUUACGGGUGGCGAGUGGCGGACGGGUGAGGAAUACAUCGGAAUCUACUUUUUCGUGGGGGAUAACGUAGGGAAACUUACGCUAAUACAGCAUACGACCUACGGGUGAAAGCAGGGGAUCUUCGGAACUUGCGCGAUUGAAUGAGCCGAUGUCGGAUUAGCUAGUUGGCGGGGUAAAGGCCCACCAAGGCGACGAUCCGUAGCUAGUCUGAGAGGAUGAUCAGCCACACUGGAACUGAGACACGGUCCAGACUCCUACGGGAGGCAGCAGUGGGGAAUAUUGGACAAUGGGCGCAAGCCUGAUCCAGCCAUACCGCGUGGGUGAAGAAGGCCUUCGGGUUUUAAAGCCCUUUUGUUGGGAAAGAAAAGCAGCAGGUUAAUACCCCGCUGUUCUGACGGUACCCAAAGAAUAAGCACCGGCUAACUUCGUG